GUAAGGUGAUAUGAACCGUUAUAACCGGCGAUACCCGAAUGGGGAAACCCAGUGUGAUUCGUCACACUAUCAUUAACUGAAUCCAUAGGUUAAUGAGGCGAACCGGGGGAACUGAAACAUCUAAGUACCCCGAGGAAAAGAAAUCAACCGAGAUUCCCCCAGUAGCGGCGAGCGAACGGGGAGGAGCCCAGAGCCUGAAUCAGCAUGUGUGUUAGUGGAAGCGUCUGGAAAGGCGCGCGAUACAGGGUGACAGCCCCGUACACAAAAGCGCAUGUGCUGUGAGCUCGAUGAGUAGGGCGGGACACGUGGUAUCCUGUCUGAAUAUGGGGGGACCAUCCUCCAAGGCUAAAUACUCCUGACUGACCGAUAGUGAACCAGUACCGUGAGGGAAAGGCGAAAAGAACCCCGGCGAGGGGAGUGAAAAAGAACCUGAAACCGUGUACGUACAAGCAGUGGGAGCACAGGUUUACCUG
This 473-nucleotide ribosomal RNA is filed under the name Salmonella enterica subsp. enterica serovar Tennessee. RNAcentral describes it as "partial 23S ribosomal RNA". It matches the Rfam family "Bacterial large subunit ribosomal RNA", at positions 81 to 591 of the family's 2925-position model. The record is from RNAcentral. Lineage: Bacteria; Pseudomonadati; Pseudomonadota; Gammaproteobacteria; Enterobacterales; Enterobacteriaceae.